UUUCUUGUUUAUUUGUGCAGUUGAUGGCUUGGAUAAAGCUUCAAUCGCUAACUCAGAUGGACCAGCCCCAGGAUCCCAAACUCCUCCCUUCAAGAGAAAGGGCAAACUUUCUACCAUUGGCAAAAUUUUUAAACCUUGGAAAUGGAGGAAGAAGAAGACCAGUGACAAAUUCAGAGAAACGUCAGCAGUGUUGGAAAGGAAGAUUUCGACAAGACAAAGCAGAGAGGAGCUGAUAAGAAGGGGAGUGCUGAAGGAAAUGCCUGAGCAAGGUUGGAAGAAACAGGAUUGUUUUGGAUGGGCUGAAAACAGAGAUACAGGUGUGAAGCUAGUUAGAAGGAACGUCUGCAGAGCUGAAAGCUAGAUGAAGAAAUGUUAUGGGGUAUUGAAAUGUGAGAGGUAAGAAAUGCAAAGAAGUGACACUAUUUCAGAAGGGAUGGAGCAGAAAGAGGUGGGAAGUGGCAAGGGUGUAGAUGAGAUGUUAGCAGAAUAUGAGUAAGGUGGGAAUCUUACAUAUGGAGGCAGAAAGGGAAGUGGAUUUAAGAGCAUCUGGAAGGAAAAAGCUGAGGAAGUUGAAUGCUGCAGUCAAAUAAGAAGAAGGCCUUGUGCAAAUAUCAGCUAUAGUAAAUGAGACAAGGUUAAGAAGGCAGAACUUAGGUUUUACACAUCAUUUUUACGCAUCAAGAGAAAGUUAGUUGUGUGGUUAGAAUGAAACAUCAGCUUAAUUCACAGAACAGCCUAAGGAAGUAAGAGAGGCUACAUAAUUGUAUUGAAAUGAGGGAACUGCCAAACAUCCAGAUCUCAUAGCACCCAACAAGAAGAAGAGAGUAGAAUUACCACAAUUAAUGAAGAAGCAACAGGAGGAACCAGAAGACAUUACAGGUAAAGUUGCACAGAUUUUGGCUGAUAAGAGCAUCCUGUAGAAGGAGGGCAAUCAUCUCUGAGAACUGGAAUUGUAGUGUCAGCAACCUACAGAUAGCAAGUCUUGGACAUAACAGAGAAGAAAAUCAGCAAUGAUUUAAAAAUUCAUAAAAUAGAGAGCAGAUACCAGUCAACAGAGAAAGUUGUGAGCCAGCAAGAGUACACAGCAUUUUUCAGGGACAUAGAUACAGAUAAGGAAGAGAAAAAAAAAUAUUUUUUUAUUUUAUUUUAUUUUUUCAGGAAGAAAAAGAAAACAUAGCUGAGGUAGUUCACAUGAGUCAGUAAUAGUCAUAAGAGCUGGGAGAGAAUUGGACUUGCAAAAUGUAUUAAUAGUAUGUAAUAUGUUACAAGGAGUCUUAACCUUGAUUUUUAAGAUUGGAUAAUGACUCAUUAUCAUUAGUAGUAAAUUCACAUUUGGGAAUUGAUCACAUAUAUUCUGAAAAUUUCUGCCUGAUUUCUGGCUGAUACACCACUGGGAUACAACACAGUUGCUCUGCAACUCUAUGCAUGUCCAGGUCUGAGACCUUUGGAAACACACUAUCUAUACAUUGUGUUCCAUGUGAAUGUCUUUAAGCUAUGUAAACCAAGAUCAUAGAAUCAUAGAAUGGCCUAGGUUGAAAAGAACCACAAUGAUCAUCUAGUUUCAACCCCC
This is a non-coding RNA of Meleagris gallopavo (turkey), 1570 nucleotides long. The record is from RefSeq and is a predicted model, not a curated record. Lineage: Eukaryota; Metazoa; Chordata; Aves; Galliformes; Phasianidae.